GGACUACCCGGGUAUCUAAUCCUGUUCGCUCCCCACGCUUUCGCGCCUCAGUGUCAGUAACGUCCCAGCGAGCUGCCUUCGCUAUUGGUGUUCCUCCUGAUAUCUGCGCAUUCCACCGCUACACCAGGAAUUCCACUCGCCUCUUCCGUACUCUAGUCCCACAGUAUCCACCGGCUUUCAAAGGUUGAGCCUUUGACUUUCACAGCGGACUUAUGGGGCCACCUACGCGCGCUUUACGCCCAAUGAUUCCGGACAACGCUUGCUCCCUACGUAUUACCGCGGCUGCUGGCAC
This 292-nucleotide ribosomal RNA is filed under the name uncultured bacterium. Its description in RNAcentral is "partial 16S ribosomal RNA". The record is from RNAcentral.